ACACAAGAUUUUGAGUCUGGUUGCCAAAAUUUCACAAGAAAAGGUUCAUUUGGCAUCUGAUCUUUUAAAACCAGUCCAUGAGAUUUGCAUUAUAAACACAUAAUUCAGUAAUCUGUGAGAUACUGAGACAGCCUCCGAAUAAACCAAAAGCUGUGUCCACAAGAUGCUUAAUAGAAAAACAAAAUGCCAGAACAGGUCAAUCUAGUUCCAGGUAGCAUUACAUAGAAGAGUUUCGAACAGAAUUUGAUGCACUAAUAAUGACACAGUCUCAGCAGCCUCAGCAACCUGUUAGAACAUUGAACAAACAUCAUUAGAUACGUUGAAAUGAAAAAAGAUACACAAAAAAGAGAAGAAAAAUGUCACCACAAUAAAUAGUAGAACAACUAGAAACUGGUUUUCCACUUCUCAAUGCUGCUCUGCACAUAGUAUCACCACAACUCUACACAAUCUUCUUCCCGUUUUGAAUAAAGUAGGGCUCUCAACCACUAUCUCCAACAUAAAUCAGACCAGUAAAUCCAUUUUCCUUUUCCUGGUCCAAGAACUUCCACAAGAAAAAGACUUCAGGCCUCCAAAUGUGUAUUUAUAUGCUCUAUGGUGAACAAGUUCCUGCUACAUGACAAUUAAAGACGAAAUUUGCCAUCCUAAACGCAGCAAUUGUUUAACACCAAAACACAUGCAAUUUGCUGUAACAGAGUGGACAACUAUGUUAGUUCUUUAAUCAUCUAAAAUCAGGAUAAAGGGACACUUCUAAAGAGUUGGAUACUGGUACUUAGGUAUGAUGGACAUUCUAGGAAAUAUACAAAUUAUGUACAUCGAUUGUUGUUUACUUGUUAACGAACAGGGCCAUUUUGCCGUGGGAGCUUUUCAGAUUUCAUUUAUACAAGGGAAAUUCAGAAUUUUAGAUAGGUCUUCUGUCUCUCUAACAUGAAAGUCCUAAAGUUUUCCACUUCACUUCUCUCCUCCCCCUUCACCAUCAACAUCCACUGACAAAAAAGAAAGUACCCAAAAAAUUGUUGAAGUGCCCCAAAUGGAUCCCAUACCAGUACCAGUGUCAAGUUAUGUCGACACAGGCACACUGGGGUAAAACAAAAAGCUGGAGUAACAUAGGUGGAAGGGUGAUUUUCAGGUAGCUAAUCUGUUAGUGUCACCAGUUUGACAAGCAUGGUGCAGCUUAUACCCAUUAUGGCGACAAUGGCUUUCACCCUGACAAAAUUAUAAAUAACUCGAUGACCAUGUCUUGGAAAAUCUUUUGCAUUGCUUGGGCCUCCAAGAAAGAUAGAUGGUGAGAGUGAUAGCUGGAAAUUUCAAUCACAUAAUAAAGCUCACUUCUCUCUUCCUUUCUAUCUGGAUCGGAAGAAUCAAAUCCCUACGCCACGGAACUGGUCAUGAAAAAAUGAAUGUAUAUUAGGAACCACAUAUACCCCUCAUCUCAACACACAUGAUUUAUUUCUACAGCCAAGCCCCACAAAAACUUUGGUUUUAAGAGGACAGAAAGCAAACUCCUACAAAAAAAGGUUUCAAGAUUAUAAUCGUGUUUGAAGUUACUGAAGACAAGAGUGACGAAUCCAGCUAAAGCUUUUCUGAAUAAUGCCAUCAGCGAAACCUCUUCAAACAGGCUUGAGUAUCAUUCUUCAACGCAAUUAUAGCUACCAAACCAGUAACACGCCAACUUGCACUCACAGCAGUUUUGUUACCAGAAAGUAGCCAGUAGGGUUUCAGACUUCAAUAACAGUACAAGAGCUGCUAAAACACUAUGCAAUGAAAGUAGCUAAUAAGCAACUGUUAAGAAUUGAACUUUGUUCCAACCUCGAAAGGAAAAGAUAUCAGAAAUUAUACUAGUCAACAACUGUUAUUUGCCUUUAUCUCUCUCUGCCCCUAACUCAAGCAUACUUCCCAUUCAACUGAAGUUCAAACUCAAUAAAAGCCCAGAUUCCAAGGACUACAGCUUAUUGUUAAAUGUGAGUAUUAUCCUCGGCUAUCUUUUCUCUGGAAAAGCUGUUUAAUCAGAUUCUUUCCUAGCUGGGGAUACAACAAUGUAUCUCUACAUGCCCCUUGGAAGAGAACUUUUGGCUACAAACUUCAAUAGGCUACAACUGUUUUCAAGCUUAGAUCCACUACAUGGAUAAUUUCCUAUUUCUUUUUUUUUUUCAAGUCCUUUUGCCCAGUAUCAAGUGAAAAAUGAGGCUCAUAGAAGAAAUGAAAGCUGUAACUGGGCAAAUCUUGGUGGUAUUGACCAGAACCAACUACUAAAGCACCCCAAAUCUCAUGGUUUUUUGUUCAUGUGAGCAGUUGCACUUAUAGCCAGUUUGUCACAUAUCACAUAGUCUACUCACUUAAUAUGACUGAAAAAGCAGUGCUCUUAACAAAAAAGAAGUCAUCAAUUUAGCUUCAUGAGGUUUUGAUCGAUGCUUUGACAGAAUUUGGUAAACAUUCAGGUACAAAUGAAAAAACCUAAUAUACUGCAGGUGAACUAAGUUAUUAUCUAGUACAAAGGCACUACAUUUGCAAUCUUUUCCAUUACAACAGAAUGAUUAGCUUCAAUACUUCUGAGGUACAAAAUUAUCAAAAUUUGUUCAGUUGACAACAGAAAACUAAUCAGGCCAUUAUAGUUCGCACAUCUAGAAACAACUUUGGGAGUUAGACGUAAUAUCAAUGAACAUUCAAAGGUAGCAAAAAGCUAAUCACAGAUCCACACAAAGCAAAGGUUGCAAAAAGCUAAUCACAGAUCCACACAAGUUCAUAUACAUUGUCUCUAAAGUGGCACUAUUCUUUGCCUACCAACUGACCAAAGGUUGCAAAACUAUGGCAUCCUGCAGUUAACUUUAUGCCAAUUAUUUUGUGGUUUAGGAACUGUUUAACUUUAUCCAUUGAAUAGAACAGGAAUGCUCUCAGUUUUAAAAAAGGAUUACUUUGAUUCAGAUCUUCAGGGCAGCUAAAUUCUAAGACCAAUAGACCUACACAUGAUCAUCUUCAACUACGGACUCAUCUCCUAUAAACUAAAUCAUCUUGAACAAAACAUUUAACCGGUAAAAACUCUGAAAUAUCUAAUCUAAUCACCACAUGUUGCCCUUUAACCGAUAAUCAACGAACUUCUUGGCUGUCUCUUGACUAGGUCCCCCAUUGUGCAGAAUCCUUCAUUUCAACCAAAAAGAGGACCUUGAGCGUCCAACUUAUUUUGGGUGACAAAAACCAUGGGGAGCCUUUUGGCCCAUCCUCCUCCCCACUCUACUGCAGGACCCAACCUGAAUCUGAAAAACAGCCAGUACCCCAGGACAGCACUCUGAUGCAGAAUUCCAAACCUCAAAUUAUCAAAUAAAACCUACAACCUUAAACAGAAACCAAAGCUUCCCUGACAUAAGUGAGAAAAAUCCACAAGUGCAAGAGAUAAUAUUUCAUGCAUUAUGGAAUCAAUAUUUUCUUUCCAGUCAAAAUGUUUAACAGAGAACAGCUAUUGCUUCAUCCAUCAAAUGCAUAAUCAGUUCAAUGAACAUCCAACUCUGGUAAUAAGUCUAUUACUAUUAAGUUGAAAAAAAAUCAAAAUACUGAUGUGCUAAAUCACUCCAACCCCCUGUUUCCAUCAAAUGCUAAAUCAUUCCAACCAUUACCCAAAAGUUGAUAAUAAGUUCACCAAUAAACCAGAAAAAAAAAGGGGGAAAGAAAAGUAGAUCCUAAACAACCAGUCAAACACUUGAGCAAGCAUUAAGCCAUUUGCCAUUUGAAACACCAUACACGCUGCCUGACAAACCUCUUAGCUCAAAAAUAAAGAACUGCAAAAGAAAACCACUACUCAAAGCCUCAUCAAACUAAAACAUCUUAUAUCACCAACAGAAAAUUUAGCUAAUAGGCCAUACUGGAAUAAGAAGUGCAAAACAAAUUUGGAUUGCGGUUUAUUUGUCAAAAUAUAUUUGCUUACAUUAUCAUUACAAUUUCCAACACACCUUUUUAUCUUUCCAAUUACCUUUUUAUCUCACAUACAUCACAUCACAAAAAGUGCUACAGUAAAAAUAUCUCUAAUAAUUCACAAUCCAAACAAACCUAAACUUUCACAACUUUUGCGAAAAAAUCUACAAGCACAAUGUUGGAAAUAAUGCGUUCAACGCAUAUGAAUCUCAAUAUCCAGAGACAGACAUUGAAAGAAUCGAAGCACGCAAAGGAGAAUUACCAAGGCAAAUCAACAAAACUGAAGCAAAACUCCAACCAACAAAAGUGAGGUACAAAAGAAGGAUAUAAGCUUUAUCACAAAAGAACCACAUAAAUAAGCAAUGCAACACUCUUUAACAGAUACUGAAAUUCACUAAGAAACUCAUAAGCUUGAAUUAAACCACAUUCGAUUGAAGAAAAAUCCUUGAUUAAUAUUCCCUCUGUUCUAUUGACACUGUCAUAUUUUGCUUUUUAGGUUGUCCCAAAAUAUUUGUAACUUACAUAAAUUGGCUAACACAUUUGCAUUCAAUUCCUCCAUUUGCCGUUCAAACACUCCCUAAAAGUCCAAUGCAUGUGUCUUUUCAUGAGCCCACAGAUUAUCACCAACGAAACUAAGACUUCGUUUGAAGUACGCGCUAAUUGGCUUUAAGAAGCUAAAGCCAUUAAGUGUUCUGAUGCACGCGCUAGUUGGCAAUCAUAUCUGGGAUUGGACAAACAUCAUGGCUCCACAAUAAUUCUUUAUGUCUUAAUACAACACUUAAAGCUCUUCAUGGGGGUGAAACGAGAAACUACAGCAUCAAUUUUCAAAUUCUAUCCACUCUUCAUAAAAAUUACAGUUCCCGAAGUGCGAUAAAUUUUAUGGGAUGAAUACCAAAACUGUCAUUAAAUUGUCUAUCAUACGAGUCAUUAGCUCAUAAAUUGCAAGCACUUCAACCAAAAAUUACAUUUCUAUGCCAAAAACCCCAUUCAGAGAUAACCUUAAGCUGUCAAACAUAGAGAUUAUAAAUCCUAAAGACUGUCAAUUCAAAAAACUAAAGCAAACCCACUUAAUAAAACCUAUCCAACAGUCACCCAAGAAAAAAAAUUUUAUUUACCUUCCCUAAGAUUAAACCAAAUAAAACUUGAAACCCAGAAAAAUGUCAAAAAGCCUCCAAAAAAUCCCAGGAAAAUUAUCCAAAAUAGAAGUCAAAGAAAAAACUAAAAAAUAAUUACCUUUAGAUCAAGCAUUUGGCAGUUUGAGGAAUAGGCUGCGCCGCUGGGGAGCCGUGUUUUUGUUGGGCUUCGGCUUCCGGGAUCUUCUGCAUCCGUUCCAUGACAAGCUCGUACACUCUCUUCUUACCUGCUUGAUUGAUUAACAAAUUGAUAAGACCGAAACAAGUAAUCUAUGUGGAUAUGCCACUCAUAUUCUCUGCCUGAUCAAUUAUACAUGUAAACAAAAUUCACGGCUUGAGGUAAAGCAAAAAUAGUCGGCCUUGUUUGGAUUCCCAUUUCUUCCCAAAAAAUUUUACACUUUGCGAUAAUGCAUCUUUCAAUCACUUUUUUUACCUCAUAUCAUAUCGUUACAAUAUUUUUUUAACAGAAACUCCAGAAAAUAGUAUCCAGACGGGCUAUUUGCGAUCUCAAAAGCAGCAGUCAAAAUGACUGCUGCACUGCCCGACU
This 5580-nucleotide long non-coding RNA is filed under the name Coffea arabica (coffee). Its description in RNAcentral is "long non-coding RNA (CARA_LNC007510)". The record is from RNAcentral. Lineage: Eukaryota; Viridiplantae; Streptophyta; Magnoliopsida; Gentianales; Rubiaceae.